AUUGAACGCUGGCGGCAUGCCUUACACAUGCAAGUCGAACGGCAGCAUGGAGAGCUUGCUCUCUGAUGGCGAGUGGCGAACGGGUGAGUAAAGCAUCGGAACGUACCGUGUAGUGGGGGAUAACGUAGCGAAAGUUACGCUAAUACCGCAUACGCACUGAGGUGGAAAGCAGGGGAUCGUAAGACCUUGCGCUAUACGAGCGGCCGAUGUCAGAUUAGCUAGUUGGUAGGGUAAAGGCCUACCAAGGCGACGAUCUGUAGCGGGUCUGAGAGGAUGAUCCGCCACACUGGGACUGAGACACAGCCCAGACUCCUACGGGAGGCAGCAGUGGGGAAUUUUGGACAAUGGGGGCAACCCUGAUCCAGCCAUGCCGCGUGAGUGAAGAAGGCCUUCGGGUUGUAAAGCUCUUUCGGCCGGGAAGAAAUCGCACAGGCUAAUACCCUGUGUGGAUGACGGUACCGGCAUAAGAAGCACCGGCUAACUACGUG
This 488-nucleotide ribosomal RNA is filed under the name uncultured bacterium. RNAcentral's name for it is "partial 16S ribosomal RNA". It matches the Rfam family "Bacterial small subunit ribosomal RNA", at positions 30 to 507 of the family's 1533-position model. The record is from RNAcentral.